UAGGGAAUCUUCCGCAAUGGACGAAAGUCUGACGGAGCAACGCCGCGUGAGUGAUGAAGGUUUUCGGAUCGUAAAGCUCUGUUGCCAGGGAAGAACGCUUACGAGAGUAACUGCUCGUAAGGUGACGGUACCUGAGAAGAAAGCCCCGGCUAACUACGUGCCAGCAGCCGCGGUAAUACGUAGGGGGCAAGCGUUGUCCGGAAUUAUUGGGCGUAAAGCGCGCGCAGGCGGCCUUGUAAGUCUGUCGUUUAAACUCGGAGCUCAACUUCGAGUCGCGAUGGAAACUGCAAAGCUUGAGUGCAGAAGAGGAAAGUGGAAUUCCACGUGUAGCGGUGAAAUGCGUAGAGAUGUGGAGGAACACCAGUGGCGAAGGCGACUUUCUGGGCUGUAACUGACGCUGAGGCGCGAAAGCGUGGGGAGCAAACAG
RNAcentral lists this ribosomal RNA (427 nucleotides) under uncultured bacterium. RNAcentral's name for it is "bacterial SSU rRNA". It matches the Rfam family "Bacterial small subunit ribosomal RNA", at positions 355 to 775 of the family's 1533-position model. The record is from RNAcentral.